Anolis sagrei ordinatus is the source of this 1669-nucleotide long non-coding RNA. RefSeq lists it as uncharacterized. Lineage: Eukaryota; Metazoa; Chordata; Lepidosauria; Squamata; Anolidae. The record is from RefSeq and is a predicted model, not a curated record.
AAUAAUUUUAUUUGUGGUAUUUGUAUAUCGCCUUUCUCAACCCCGAAGGGGACUCAGGGCAGUUCACAGUCUCACCAUCAUCUCCCUAAGGGACUCAAGUGGUGUACAAGACACUCCAGGGUGCACAUAUAACAUACAACAUGUAAAAUGGUACAAAAAUAUAAAAGAAGUCACAUAAAAUUAUAACAACACUCCCCACCAAUAUAUGUAGCAUAAAAUCCAAGUAAUAUCAUUUUAAAACAACAGUAGAUAACAGUAGGUUAACUAUAAAUCCCAGCAACUACUACUCCCAAAUGACAAAAUCGAUCCCCACCCCAACCUCACCAUUAUUCAAAUGUGAGCGGAUCGGGUGUUUGUGCCAAAUUUGUUCCAAUGAAUGAAAAUACAUCCUGCAUAUCAGAUAUUUACAUUAUUAUUCAUAACAGUAGCAAAAUUACAGUAAUGAAGUAGCAGUGAAAAUAUCUUUAUGGAUGGGGGUCACCACAAUAUGAGAAACUGUAUUAAGAGGUUGCAGCUUUGAAUCUGAUGCUUAUCCUUUCCUCUACAAAAGACCUCUUUAACAUAUGAGGAUAACUCUCACUAGAAGCAAUUUGCCUUCAUGCUUUAUAGUGGAGCAUCUUCUAAAGAAGGCAAUUCAGAUGACAUCUGUUUGACAAUGGAGUCUCCAAAGAACCAAGUGACCUGCAUGAUGCGUUAUGAGUAGAGAAAUUUUCAGUUCCAGCUUUUGACCCAUGUGUGUACCAAAGGAAAAUACAUACAAAUCAAUGCACGGAUGUUAGGGAUACCAGUUUAACUGCUUUGAAUGUUUCACUACACAUAUUUCUACACAUAGUUAGUUAGCUGUCAUUAGGGAAAGAGUAUUUCAGUGUACAUAAUUUUCCCUGUGAAGCAUCUUAAAACUAUUGAAUGAAAGCACCGAGAGUGCAAAAAGAAGAGGGGUACAUUAUUUGCAUUUGAGACAGAUUGUCCGUCAUGACACAUUUGCAUUGAUACAGAUUUCCAAGAACAUUUUCUACUUUGGAAGUGCUUCCAGAUGAAGAAUUCCUAGCACUGCUACUCAAACGGCAUCGUGUAGUGAGAUUCCAUCUUUCCCUCAUUAAUUGAUUCUUUUUUUUUCUGGUGAGAAAAAAAGAUGGAAGAAGCAGGACAACGAGAGUUAGAAACUAAGGAAGACAUCUGGGAACCCCUGAACAAAAUUGUGCCAUAAAAGCUUUAUUUAGAAGCAUCCUUGGUUUAAUAAGCAGUGUGGGAAGACUUCACAUUCUACAUCAUUUUACCAUUCACGCCUAAGUAAAGCAAAAGCCAUAUUCUCAACCAGCCUCCACUGGUUCUCAUUUUUAAAGCUAUUCCUGCAUGUGCUGCUCUAAACAUCAUCAUCAUAUGCAAAGCCAACCUUAAGAAAUGGGGUCAUAAAGUGGAGUCCACGACAUGCGAGUGUGGAGAAGAACAAACCACAGACCACAUAUUACAAUGCAGCCUGAGCCCUGCCACAUGCACAAUGGAGGACCUUCUUAUAGCAACACCAGAGGCACUCCAAGUGGCCAGCUACUGGUCAAAGGACAUUUAAUAUAAUGCCAAGUUGUUAAACUUCAUGUUUUUUCAGAUAUAUCACAACUGUACCCUUGGUUUGCUCCUGAUAUGAUAAAUAAAUAAAUGAUCAUACUGGUAA